AAUAUUUGACAAUGGGCGAAAGCCUGCUCCAGCCAUCCCGCGUGUGUGAAGAAGGACUUCGGAUUGUAAUGCACUUUAAGUUGGGAGGAAGGGUUGUAGUUUAAUACUCUUCUAUUUUGACGUUCCCAACAGAAAAAGCACCGGCUAACUUCGUUCCGACAGCCGCGGUAACAAGAAGGGGGCAAGAGUUAAUCGGAAUUACUGGUCGUAAAGCGCGGGUAGGUGGUUCGUUCAGAUGGAAGUGAAAGCCCCGGGCUUAAACUGGGAAUUGCUUUCAAAACUGACGAGCUAGAGUACGGUAGAGGGUAGUGGAAUUUCCUGUGUAGCGGUGAAAUGCGUAGAUAUAGGAAGGAACAUCAGUGGCGAAGGCGACUACCUGGACUGAUACUGACACUGAGGUGCGAAAGCGUGGGGAGCAAACAGG
Molecule: ribosomal RNA, 424 nt
Filed under: uncultured bacterium
Lineage: Bacteria
Description: partial 16S ribosomal RNA
Rfam family: Bacterial small subunit ribosomal RNA
Source: RNAcentral